GCACAUAGCUCAGUUGGUUAGAGCACCACCUUGACAUGGUGGGGGUCGUUGGUUCGAGUCCAAUUGUGCCUACCA
Molecule: transfer RNA, 75 nt
Filed under: Pseudomonas fulva
Lineage: Bacteria; Pseudomonadati; Pseudomonadota; Gammaproteobacteria; Pseudomonadales; Pseudomonadaceae
Also listed under: 1 other name
Description: tRNA-Val
Rfam family: tRNA
About the family: Transfer RNA (tRNA) molecules are approximately 80 nucleotides in length. Their secondary structure includes four short double-helical elements and three loops (D, anti-codon, and T loops).
Source: RNAcentral